Paramuricea clavata is the source of this 260-nucleotide non-coding RNA. The record is from the annotation of a GenBank genome assembly. Lineage: Eukaryota; Metazoa; Cnidaria; Anthozoa; Malacalcyonacea; Plexauridae.
CAGUAUAAAACAAGGUCGAAUCCCCAGUAUUUAUAGCCGCGUCGAGAAAUUUCCUGGGAGAAACGGAGUCCUCGCUCGUUAUGCUUCGGAGAAAACGAAGUGCAGGCAAUAGCUAGAGAGAAAAGAUAUUUUGGUUCAAUGUAAGUGGGGUGUGCUAAUCAUGGACUUGAAUGAUGUGAUUUCUUGCACUUCACUUGGUGGAAUUAUUAUUAGAAUGUUAGGGUUUGUAAUCCAAGUGAUUAUAUACAUUUUAAGACCUG